Molecule: unclassified non-coding RNA, 366 nt
Filed under: plant metagenome
Description: partial contains 5.8S ribosomal RNA, internal transcribed spacer 2, and large subunit ribosomal RNA
Rfam family: 5.8S ribosomal RNA (bases 1-105)
Source: RNAcentral
GAAACGCGAUAGUUAAUGUGAAUUGCAGAAUUCAGUGAAUCAUCGAGUCUUUGAACGCACAUUGCGCCCAUAGGUAUUCCUUUGGGCAUGUCUGUUUGAGCGUCAUUACAACCCUCAGCUAACCGCUGGUUUUGAACCUGAACGGGUGACACCGCGCCGGUUUUAAAGUUGUAAGCUCUGCUUGGUGUUGGGUGUUUGUCCCCGUCUCCGCGCGUGGACUCGCCCCAAAGUGAUUGGCAGCCGGCGUACUGGUCCCGGAGCGCAGCACAUGUCGCGCAAACGAGUGCCUUGGUACGGCGGCGUCCAUAAGCCCCUCUCUCACGCUCUUGACCUCGGAUCAGGUAGGGAUACCCGCUGAACUUAAGC